UUCUUUCGCCGCGCACGCGCGAAAAACAGCUCGCUCUUGUACAAGUGCGUAGUGAGUGCCGGUACCGGUUUCUUGUGAUCUCUACGCGUCUUCACCACAAAAUCGUAUUACUUAGUGUAAAGCAGAAAGAAAACGUUAAAAGUUUUGUGUUGCCUCAUCUUUUAUUUCUGUCUGGAUUUUCUUUGCAUAGAAU
Pseudomyrmex gracilis is the source of this 193-nucleotide long non-coding RNA. RefSeq lists it as uncharacterized. The transcript has 2 exons. NCBI's taxonomy places the organism in Eukaryota, Metazoa, Arthropoda, Insecta, Hymenoptera, Formicidae. The record is from RefSeq and is a predicted model, not a curated record.